This 470-nucleotide ribosomal RNA is filed under the name uncultured bacterium. Its description in RNAcentral is "SSU rRNA". It matches the Rfam family "Bacterial small subunit ribosomal RNA", at positions 26 to 518 of the family's 1533-position model. The record is from RNAcentral.
AGAACGAACGCUGGCGGCAGGCUUAACACAUGCAAGUCGAACGCAUCUCUUCGGAGAUGAGUGGCAGACGGGUGAGUAACGCGUGGGAACGUACCCUUUGGUUCGGGAUAACCCGGGGAAACUCGGGCUAAUACCGGAUAAGCCGGAAACGGGAAAGGUUUACUGCCGAAGGAUCGGCCCGCGUCGGAUUAGCUAGUUGGUGUGGUAACGGCGCACCAAGGCGACGAUCCGUAGCUGGUCUGAGAGGAUGAUCAGCCACACUGGGACUGAGACACGGCCCAGACUCCUACGGGAGGCAGCAGUGGGGAAUAUUGGACAAUGGGCGCAAGCCUGAUCCAGCCAUGCCGCGUGAGUGAAGAAGGCUUUCGGGUCGUAAAGCUCUGUGGGGAGGACGAAAAACAUUGGCUAAUAUCCAAUGGACUGACUGUACCUCCUUAGCAAGCACCGGCUAACUCCGUGCCAGCAGCCGC